GUGGGGAAUAUUGGACAAUGGGCGCAAGCCUGAUCCAGCCAUGCCGCGUGAGUGAUGAAGGCCUUAGGGUUGUAAAGCUCUUUCAGUGGGGACGAUAAUGACGGUACCCACAGAAGAAGCCCCGGCUAACUUCGUGCCAGCAGCCGCGGUAAUACGAAGGGGGCUAGCGUUGUUCGGAAUUACUGGGCGUAAAGCGCACGUAGGCGGAUCGUUAAGUCGGGGGUGAAAUCCUGGAGCUCAACUCCAGAACUGCCUUGGAUACUGGCGAUCUGGAGUCCGGAAGAGGUGAGUGGAACUCCUAGUGUAGAGGUGGAAUUCGUAGAUAUUAGGAAGAACACCAGUGGCGAAGGCGGCUCACUGGUCCGGUACUGACGCUGAGGUGCGAAAGCGUGGGGAGCAAACAGGAUUAGAAACCCUGGUAGUCC
Molecule: ribosomal RNA, 425 nt
Filed under: uncultured bacterium
Lineage: Bacteria
Description: bacterial SSU rRNA
Rfam family: Bacterial small subunit ribosomal RNA
Source: RNAcentral